Non-coding RNA from Marivita cryptomonadis, 377 nucleotides. Lineage: Bacteria; Pseudomonadati; Pseudomonadota; Alphaproteobacteria; Rhodobacterales; Roseobacteraceae. The record is from Rfam.
GCGGAGGGCCGGAUGGCCGCCCCUAUAUGGGGGAGGAAAGUCCGGACUCCCUGAAGCAAUGGUGCCGGGUAACGCCCGGGCAGGGCAACCUGACGGAAAGCGCCACAGAGAACAGACCGCCCCGAUUUCGAUCGGGGUAAGGGUGAAACGGUGGGGUAAGAGCCCACCGGGGGGCUGGCAACAGCCCCCGCAUGGCAAGCCCCACCGGGAGCAAUGCCGAAUAGGGGGAUCGCGCCGCGUGUCGGCAGGGUCGCUUCAGCCCAGAUCCCCGGGUUGGCAGCACGAGGCCGAUGGCAACAUCGGUCCCAGAGGAAUGGUCAUCUAUCCUUGGGGCAACCCAAGGGGGACAGAAUCCGGCUUACAGGCCCUCCGCGCGU